AGCGAACGCUGGCGGCAGGCCUAACACAUGCAAGUCGAACGAACUCUUCGGAGUUAGUGGCGGACUGGUGGGUAACACGUUGGAACGUGCCUUUUGGUUUGGCAUAACUCAGGGAAACUCGUGCUAAUACCGACUGUGCUCUCCGGGGGAAAGAUUUAUCGCCAUUAGAGCGGCUGGAGACGGCUUGGCUUGUUGGGGAGGUAAAGGCGCACCACUGCUUCGAUCAGUAGCUGGGUAGCGAGGAUGACCAGCGACACUGGUACGGGGACACGGCCAAGAAUACUACGGGAGGGAGGAGUGGGGAAUCUUGCGAAAUGGGGGAAAGGAUGACGGAGCCAGGAUGGGUGAAUGAUGAAGGUCGUAGGGUUGUAAAAUUAUUUCACAGGGGACGAUAAUGACGGUACCCGGAGAAGAAGCCCCGGCUAACUUCGUG
Molecule: ribosomal RNA, 433 nt
Filed under: uncultured bacterium
Lineage: Bacteria
Description: partial 16S ribosomal RNA
Rfam family: Bacterial small subunit ribosomal RNA
Source: RNAcentral